Non-coding RNA from Pantherophis guttatus, 361 nucleotides. The record is from RefSeq and is a predicted model, not a curated record. Lineage: Eukaryota; Metazoa; Chordata; Lepidosauria; Squamata; Colubridae.
GAGCAAUAGUUUGGAUCCUAUUAAGCCUCAGCUUUGCUUAUAUGCUGGCUCUUUUCCAGGAGCUCAAGAUGGAUUCCACAGAGAAUUCCUUUCAUUUGUGAGAUCUUCAUUAUACAAGGACACCCUCAGUGGAACAUACUGGCAGUUAAGAAAAAUCAGAAUGAAAGGACAUCUCAUGGGACAUCUGUCAAAACAACUCUAUUAUUUUCCUUCUGUGUCUGUAAUGAACUCAUAAAUGUCUUGAUACAGAUAUGCAGUAUAUCAAUAUAUUCAUAUAUACAUGAAUGAAUCUCUUUAGCAUGUAAGAUUCUGUUUUAAAAGGCCAUCCAUUUAAAUGACAUACAUUUAGAUAGAUCGGUAG